This is a long non-coding RNA of Pan paniscus (pygmy chimpanzee), 1320 nucleotides long. The record is from Ensembl. Lineage: Eukaryota; Metazoa; Chordata; Mammalia; Primates; Hominidae.
AUUUCAUCAUAUGAAUUUUAAUACGAAUUUUAGGGGGGACACCAUCAGACCAUAGCAGUGUUUGACCCCAGCACUUUCUUUUUCCAUCAUCUUGUGAAAACAAAAGGAAAGAAAAGCAGAGCACCAUGCUGCCCCAAGUAAAGACACAUUUAUCUCUCAUUUAUUCAUUCUAUAAACAGCUUUGUGCCCAUUACCAGCUAGACUCUGCAAAGACAAGGAACACUAACAAGUGCCCCUGUCCCCAAGGUGUUUGUAGGUAUAUUAGCCAAGAUGAGUUAACACCUAUGAAAACAACUCUUAACUCUCAAUGAUCUAAUAAGCUAUAAGUUUGUUUAUCCCUUUGUCCCAGUGUACCAUAGGUUGGGGGAAAGAGUGAUCCACACAAACCUCCAGGGACUCAGACUUUCCCUCCUCAGUGGCCCUGUCACCACCAUAUCCUCGGAGGUCUCCAGGCCCUCUUUGUCUGUCCAGCAAAUGAGAGGAGAGAACCUGAAGGAAGACACAGAGAAUUUAAAAAGCUGCCACAUCCGCCCACAUCCCCUGUGCAGAACUCCAUCCCAGGGCCACGGUGGCCUGCAGCAGAGGCUGGAAACCCAUGAAGAAGAGGAGCUUUCUGGUUGGAAGCGGAGAGAAGUAAAUAAGAAGUCCAGGUGCCCAGGGCAGAAGCUGCAAAAUGACAGCAGGCCCAGCGCCGACGGGAAGCAAGUAUGACUUUCCAUGGGCCCACAAGCAGCUCUGAGGUCCUGAGCCUGGCUGGUCUGUGACUGUGGGACAGUAAGAUUCAGGGUUCCAGGAGUGUGAUGGCCAAGAAUCCACACCACCCCUGCCCCAGGCAAAGGACUCAGCUUUCAGCUGCAAGAACACCACAGAAGCCUAUAUAGGGUCUUGGAAGACAGCAGGGCGUCUGCCAACAGAGUCCCGUCUCUCUCUUCUCCUCCCCCUCACUCCUCUCUCCACUGCUUCACUGGACUUUGAAAAAUAUCAUGGAAGGGGCCAUUGGGUCUAGGGCCAAGAAAGGGGCUAAAAACCUCCAUCCUGGGUAACUGUCAUUAACACUAAGAUCAUGAAAGUCAAGAUAAGCCCUCUUCUCCUUGAUCCCCACCCCACCAUGAGAUUUGCAGGGCAAGUCUGGGAGGGAAAAGAAACGAGUCCUGAUAAAUGUAAAUUGACAGGCACCCCUGUUCACAAUCUGUUCUAGGUAUAAUUCCACAUGGCUCCCCCAAGACAAAGAUGUUCCCCUUUGAUGGUGCUGUUGUCUUGGGGAGAGGCGCAGGCACAUUCUGACUGGCCAGUUCUUGCUCCCUAAAAUAGCCUGUGGAC